AAGUCGUAACAAGGUCUCCGUAGGUGAACCUGCGGAGGGAUCAUUACCGAGUGAGGGCUCCGGCCCGACCUCCAACCCUUUGACGUUACCCAUCUCAGUUGCCUCGGGGGGCGACCCGUACUCGACCGAGGACGGGCCACCCCCGGUGGACCCCUCGACUCUGCGUUCUGUGCGUCGGAGUCUCAUGGGAAAUUUGAAUCAAAA
This 204-nucleotide unclassified non-coding RNA is filed under the name plant metagenome. RNAcentral's name for it is "partial contains small subunit ribosomal RNA and internal transcribed spacer 1". The stretch from base 1 to 46 matches the Rfam family "Eukaryotic small subunit ribosomal RNA", at positions 1786 to 1831 of the family's 1831-position model. The record is from RNAcentral.